Molecule: ribosomal RNA, 701 nt
Filed under: uncultured crenarchaeote
Lineage: Archaea; Thermoproteati; Thermoproteota
Description: bacterial SSU rRNA
Rfam family: Archaeal small subunit ribosomal RNA
Source: RNAcentral
CCUUGUGCCAGCCGCCGCGGUAAAACCAGCUCUUCAAGUGGUCGGGAUAAUUAUUGGGCUUAAAGUGUCCGUAGCCGGUUUAGUAAGUUCCUGGUAAAACCGGGCAGCUUAACUGUCCGUAUGCUAGGAAUACUGCUAUGCUAGAGGGCGGGAGAGGUCUGAGGUACUACAGGGGUAGGGGUGAAAUCUUAUAAUCCUUGUAGGACCACCAGUGGCGAAAGCGUCAGACUGGAACGCGCCUGACGGUGAGGGACGAAAGCCAGGGGAGCGAACCGGAUUAGAUACCCGGGUAGUCCUGGCCGUAAACGAUGCAUACUAGGCAAUGGUGCGGCCAUGAGCCGCAUCAGUACCGUAGGGAAACCGUUAAGUGUGCCGCCUGGGAAGUACGGUCGCAAGGCUAAAACUUAAAGGAAUUGGCGGGGGAGCACCACAAGGGGUGAAGCCUGCGGUUCAAUUGGACUCAACGCCGGGAAACUUACCAGGGGAGACAGCAGAAUGACAGUCAGGUUGACGACCUUACUCGACGAGCUGAGGGGAGGUGCAUGGCCGUCGCCAGUUCGUGCUGUGAGGUAUCCUGUUAAGUCAGGCAACGAACGAGAUCCGCGCCUUUAUUUGCCAUCAAGAAGUCACGACUUCGUUGGGAGCACUAAAGGGACCGCCGUCGAUAAGACGGAGGAAGGAGCGGGCAAAGGCAGGUCUGU